This 407-nucleotide ribosomal RNA is filed under the name uncultured Streptococcus sp. RNAcentral's name for it is "bacterial SSU rRNA". It matches the Rfam family "Bacterial small subunit ribosomal RNA", at positions 973 to 1382 of the family's 1533-position model. The record is from RNAcentral. Lineage: Bacteria; Bacillati; Bacillota; Bacilli; Lactobacillales; Streptococcaceae.
ACCAGGUCUUGACAUCCGAUGCUAUUUCUAGAGAUAGAAAGUUACUUCGGUACAUCGGUGACAGGUGGUGCAUGGUUGUCGUCAGCUCGUGUCGUGAGAUGUUGGGUUAAGUCCCGCAACGAGCGCAACCCCUAUUGUUAGUUGCCAUCAUUCAGUUGGGCACUCUAGCGAGACUGCCGGUAAUAAACCGGAGGAAGGUGGGGAUGACGUCAAAUCAUCAUGCCCCUUAUGACCUGGGCUACACACGUGCUACAAUGGUUGGUACAACGAGUUGCGAGUCGGUGACGGCGAGCUAAUCUCUUAAAGCCAAUCUCAGUUCGGAUUGUAGGCUGCAACUCGCCUACAUGAAGUCGGAAUCGCUAGUAAUCGCGGAUCAGCACGCCGCGGUGAAUACGUUCCCGGGCCUU